UACAUGAAGAUAUAUGGUUUAGGGGUGGGGAUCUCGAACAUUACCAAGUUCUCAAAGAGGUGGGGUGGGGUGACCCCCAGGGACUUCCCCUAUAUUUCAUUUGAUUAUAUAUAUAUUGUCCCAUACAUUAAUAAAUAUAGUUUAGGGGUGAGGAUUUCGACUGUUUCCAAGUUCUUAAACAUGAGGGGGUGGGGUGACCCUAUGGACUUCCCCUAUAUUUCAUUUGAUUAGUUAUUUAGUCUCAUACAUAAAUGUAUAUGGUUGAUGGGGAUCUCGACUGUUUCCAAGUUCUAAAACAGGAGGAGGUAGAGUGGCGCAAUGGACUCCACCUAUAUAUCAUAUGAUUUGCUUACAUUCAGGUAUCAUAUAUAUAUAGUUGCACUAUUUGUACCUGUCCCAAGUCAGGAGCCUGUAAUUCAGUGGUUGUCGUUUGUUUAUGUGUUACAUAUUUGUUUUUUGUUAAUUUUUUUUAUAUAAAUAGGGCCGUUAGUUUUCUCGUUUGAAUUAUUUUACAUUGUCUUAUCGGGGCCUUUUAUAGCUGACUAUAGUGUAUGGGCUUUGCUCCUUGUUGAAGGCCGUACAAUGACCUAUAGUUGUCUGUGUCAUUUUGGUCUCUUGUGGAUAGUUGUCUCAUUGGCAAUCAUACCACAUCUUUUUUUUUUUUAUAUAAGAAACUUCCAGCUAUUUUAAAUGACCAAUCAAAAUUGAGAAGAAAAAAAUACCCCUUGAAAUUGCAGUAAUAUGUUUAACUUUAAAAGCAUCUAACAUGCAUUACCAACAUUUAUCACUGAUAAAGAAAAUUUAUACUGUUACCAGGAACAUAUAUAUAUUGUCAGAUAAACUGUUCCCAGCUGUCACAUUGUAUUGGAUUUUGACAUUAAAACUGGUGUACAAAAUAUUUUCUGCUUUUUCUUUCUUUUACAUAUAUGUUUU
This 933-nucleotide long non-coding RNA is filed under the name Mytilus galloprovincialis (Mediterranean mussel). The record is from RNAcentral. Lineage: Eukaryota; Metazoa; Mollusca; Bivalvia; Mytilida; Mytilidae.